GGAAUUAGCUUCCAAAACCUUGUUUGCUUUAUUUUUCAUGCAUUAAAAUGAUGAAAGAGAAGUGGUCAAUGUUUUAUUAUUUUUUUAGUAUUAUAUGUAUGGAUUUUGGAGUGAGAAAGUGGAAAGGAGAGUAGUUUCACGUUAACUAGUGUGUGCUCCUGCAUGUGCCUUUCAUUGAGUAUUUUUAAUUGAUUUUAUGUUUUUGCAUUGCAUGGUUGGAGAGAGAAAAAGUUGGGUUGCUUUUGUUAUAGAAGUGUGAACGUUCCAGGGAGGAGGGGUAUUGCUCCUCAUUCAUUCUUUACGUUACAAUACAUGGCCAUUGGCUUUUCAUUUUUCUUCUUUGCAUGGGUCUUGGGCACGCUUUCUCAUUGCUUUGGAAAUAUUAUAAGUGACUCUUGAUUCCCUUGGUAGGUUACCAAUUUAAUAAGAGUUGUAGGUUAGCUAAAUUAAUAUUAUUAGGGUACUUUAACAUUACCAUUUAUCACCAUUAAAGUGAGGUUAUUGGAGUUAAUAGAGAGUUAGGAAAGGGCUAAUCUGAAGUUAGUGGGAUAGGGUGUUUAUGGGAGUAACGUUGAGUGGUUAGUGAAGGGUUAGUGAGGUUUAAGGUAAGUUUCUACUUAAGGGUGUAAGUUAAGUUAGUAGGGUUGGAAAAACAAAACAUUUUGGUGAGUAAAAUAAAGAGAGAACUGUGACUUGGAGAGGCACUUUUGGAGAGCAACCAAAUUGGUGAGAGAGCCACCCUAGCCUUGGAGUUUUUGGACGUCACUUGUAGGUGAUCAAGAGGAGUGAAGACUUAGAGUCUAGUGAAGGGAGAAAACCUAAAAGCCUUUGGGAGCUUGCUUGGAACUAGAGGUAAGGGGUUUAACUUGGGAUAUAAUAUGGUGUAUGAUGGGUAAAAGGUAACAUGAUAAUGUUGAUGCAUGCUUCCUUUCUUUCGUGUUGAGAUUAAAGUUAAUAUGUUCAUGCAUGCUCUCUCUUUUUGUGUUUAGUUUCAUGUGUUGUUGUAUGGAGAAUGAUUAUUUUCAUGCAUUUUCAAAAAUUGGGGUUGUGAAGGGGUAUACUUUGGGUUGUAUAUAUAUAGUGAUUUUCGUUUUUUUUUUUUUUGUAGUUAUGGGUAUACUUUCAACUUUGCAUGUUGGUUUUUCAAAAAAAAUUGUUGUUCUUAAAAUGGGUAUACAUGUUUUGGACACUUUGGGGUAAUGUAUGUGUAUGAAAAAGUUUUAUGGGUACACUUAAAAUCAUGUUAUAUUGUGUGCAUCUUGUUUCCUUAUUACCAUGUAUGAUUUAUAAUAUUUUUGUGGGAUGCUUAUCUACACUCUUUGACCAAGAGUGUGGGUAGGAGGGUAUUGAGAGUUCUCUCCCAUUACUGGAAGAGAAUAGAGUGAGUUAUGAGUAUGAGAGGAGUGAAAGUGAUGUUUUUGUGAGAUGGGGUAUAUGGGGUUGAUGAAAGUAGUGAAGAAAGAAGAAGCUUGAUGUCAUUGGAGGAAGAAGAACAUGAAGGAAGAAUUAUGGAAGUGGAAGGAGGAGAUGGGCACACUACAAAUCACAUAACAAAAGCAAGGAGAAAAGACAAGGAAGGGAGGAGUCUCGGUUAACGUGGGGAGUGUGGGGAGUGAGAGAAGAGCAGAAGAAAGGUGGUUUUUGGGUUUUAGUUGAGAAAGAAAAAGUGAAAGAGUGAAAGGAUGUGUGUGUGUAUGUGUUUGCCGUGAGUUUGAGUGAGAGAAAGGUGAGUUAGAAAGGAUGUUAAAAAGUCAAAGGGUAAUGAAAAAUGAAAUUUAGAAGAGUGUGUGUUGGGUUACGUAAUGGUUAGAAAAAAAGAAAGAUGAAGAGAAGAAAGAGAAUGAAGUAUUGUUUUUGUGUUGAAAAAGGAAAAAAAAUUGAGAAUGCAUGGGAUGUGUGUUACGUGAAUGGUAAUUGAAUGGGAGAGAGAUUGGCCUUUUAGUCUUAGAAAAGAGAAGAAAAGUUGAUCUAGAAAAGUGAGUGGGGUCCACGGCAAUUUUGGUGUGAAAGGUGGGUGAGGUGGAUUUUGCUUUAAUUGAAAAAAAAUAAAAUAAAAAGAGAAAGAGAGGAAGACGAGAGAUGUUACGUAAAAGUAGGAAAAAAGGGAUAGAGAAAAAAUAAAGUUUGAUUUUUAAUUAAAAAGACUAAUGGGUCCACUU
RNAcentral lists this long non-coding RNA (2159 nucleotides) under Vigna radiata. RNAcentral describes it as "long non-coding RNA (VRAD_LNC016556)". Lineage: Eukaryota; Viridiplantae; Streptophyta; Magnoliopsida; Fabales; Fabaceae. The record is from RNAcentral.